AUUGAACGCUGGCGGCAGGCCUAACACAUGCAAGUCGAGCGGAUGAAGGGAGCUUGCUCCUGGAUUCAGCGGCGGACGGGUGAGUAAUGCCUAGGAAUCUGCCUGGUAGUGGGGGAUAACGUCCGGAAACGGGCGCUAAUACCGCAUACGUCCUGAGGGAGAAAGUGGGGGAUCUUCGGACCUCACGCUAUCAGAUGAGCCUAGGUCGGAUUAGCUAGUUGGUGGGGUAAAGGCCUACCAAGGCGACGAUCCGUAACUGGUCUGAGUGGAUGAUCAGUCACACGUGAACUGAGAAAAGGGCCAGACUCCUAAGGGAGGCAGCAGUGGGGAAUAUUGGAAAAUGGGCGAAAGCCUGAUCCAGGCAAGCCGCGUGUGUGAAGAAGGUCUUCGGAUUGUAAAGCACUUUAAGUUGGGAGGAAGGGCAGUAAGUUAAUACCUUGCUGUUUUGACGUUACCAACAGAAUAAGCACCGGCUAACUUCGUG
RNAcentral lists this ribosomal RNA (484 nucleotides) under uncultured bacterium. RNAcentral describes it as "partial 16S ribosomal RNA". It matches the Rfam family "Bacterial small subunit ribosomal RNA", at positions 30 to 507 of the family's 1533-position model. The record is from RNAcentral.